AGUAGGAUAGCUGGGUCAAAUGGCAGUUCCAUUCCUAGUUUUCUGAGGAAUCUCCAUACUGCUUUUCAUAAUAAUUGUACCAAUUUGCAGUCCCAAGAGCAAU
Molecule: microRNA precursor, 103 nt
Filed under: Marmota monax (woodchuck)
Lineage: Eukaryota; Metazoa; Chordata; Mammalia; Rodentia; Sciuridae
Source: RNAcentral